Molecule: long non-coding RNA, 1784 nt
Organism: Panthera uncia (snow leopard)
Lineage: Eukaryota; Metazoa; Chordata; Mammalia; Carnivora; Felidae
Exons: 3
Source: RefSeq, a predicted model, not a curated record
GUACAGAAUUUUAAAAAAUCCUUAAUAAACAUAUAACGAGCAUGAGAAAAUUCAGCAAAGUACAGCUUUUCAGAUUUUUCCUACAGCGAGGCUUUUCGUUUUGUGCAAUUUCAAAUAUUGAAUUCUUGGGCCGCCUGCGUGGCUCAGUCUGUUAAGCUUCUGACUCUUGAUUUCAGGUCAGAUCACGAUCUCAUCGUCCGUGAGUUCGAGCCCUGCAUUGGGCUCUGCGCUGUGAGCGCAGAGCCUACUUGGGAAUCUCUCUCUCCUUCUCUCUCUGCCCCUUCCCUGCUUGCGCACUCUCUCUCCCUCAAAAUAAAUAGAUGAACUUAAAAAAACCCCAAAUAUUGACUUCUUUCCAAAAAAAUUUUUUUCUGGUUUCCUUCAGUUGUUGAUAUCUUGAAUGCUUAACAGAUCUGAUUAUUGGGAAACUCAGUAUUACUGAGGGAGAAUGGAGGUUAAUUCCAGGGUGGUUCCACCUACAGACCCACAGUAUUCUGCCAUUGCAGGGGAGGAAGGUCCCGUGUAUUUGUAGGGAGAGAUUGGUGUAGACAUCGUCAGGCUUUUGUAUUUGCAAGUUUAGGGGCAAGAGUUGGACCUCGGACGCCCGUUUGGAAGCCGUGGGCCUGUUUGCGGUUGCUAGACAAGUAAGAGGCGAUGGUGAUUUUUGUUUCAUGAAUUAGACUUGCCUAACCAAGGAAGGUACCAAGAGCGAAGACUGCAGUCGUACAAGAAAAAAAAUCCCUGGGGAGCCGCCGCGUUUCAGAGGUGGUGAAGAAGGGCGUGAAGAAGAACAAAAAGAAAGGAUGGCAGCCAAACUUCAGGGACUUGGGCCUUGACUGCACAUCGGACAUCUGAAGGAGGUUUUUCCUGACAUCCAGUCCUGUGCAAGUCCUGGAGGCUUCCAAAUCAAAUUGACGAGGAGGACAGUGAUCUGACAUCAAGAGGGGCAAGACCACUAAAUAUGGAAAACCUGACUCCCAAUCGAUGCUUUGAAAGAAAGAUCUUGAUCAAAAGAGGGAAAUGUGAAACUGAAUAGAGGAAACCUCAUUUAAAAGGGAGUCAGAAGACCAGAAGGGGAGCUCUCAUGUCAAAUCAUUUGUCCCUCACAGACCCCAGCAGGAAAAAAUGCAAUACCAGCAGGAAGAAGCCUACUUUACCACCUCAGAAGGAGGAAGGGAGAAUUUCUCCUGACCUAGCAACAAGCUCAGCCAAUAAGAAAAUACCACAACUCACCCAAUGAGAAACCAUCACUACCCUGAACUCUCAUUUUCCUCCAAUGGAUUUCAUUCAUGCAGCCCCUCCCAAGUUCCUUCUCUUCUCUACAAAGUAACCUUCUUUUCCUUUGAUUUUUCAACUGUGUUAUGGUUUGCCAUAGCUUUUGUGUCCUGAACUGCAAUUUCUCUGCUAUUCCUCAAUAAACUUAUUCUGCUGGUAAAAUAACUGGCUGUUUUGCUUUUAAGGUUGACAGGCCUUCGUCCCAUAAGACUUCCCCCACUUUAGAAGGCAAUUUCAAGUCCAGGUUGUUACCUAUACUUCUGAGCCACUGGCUAUAAGUUGGAGGUUCCCGGGAACAUUUCUUCCACUUCAAUUAAUAUGCUAGGAUGCCUCAAAGAACUCAGAAAAACAUGUACUCAUGUUUACCAGUUUAUGAUAAAGGAUAUUAUAAAGGAUAUAGAUGAAUAGCCAGAUGAAGAGGUACAUAAAGCCUAGGAGGGUCCCAAGUGCAGAAGCUUCUGUCCCCAUGGGCCUGGAGUGGACUAUCCUCCAGGCAUAUGGAGACAUUC